GGAGAAGUGCCAGAGCGGUUGAAUGGGCCGCACUCGAAAUGCGGUGUACGGGUGACUGUACCGGGGGUUCGAAUCCCUCCUUCUCCG
RNAcentral lists this transfer RNA (87 nucleotides) under Saprospiraceae bacterium. RNAcentral's name for it is "tRNA-Ser". It matches the Rfam family "tRNA". From Rfam's summary of the family: Transfer RNA (tRNA) molecules are approximately 80 nucleotides in length. Their secondary structure includes four short double-helical elements and three loops (D, anti-codon, and T loops). Lineage: Bacteria; Pseudomonadati; Bacteroidota; Saprospiria; Saprospirales; Saprospiraceae. The record is from RNAcentral.